This 423-nucleotide non-coding RNA is filed under the name Prochlorococcus marinus subsp. pastoris str. CCMP1986. Lineage: Bacteria; Bacillati; Cyanobacteriota; Cyanophyceae; Synechococcales; Prochlorococcaceae. The record is from RNAcentral.
UGAUCUUCUUCCGAACCUUCGAAUAAAUAGAUUUGAUUAUUUUUCAUAGUGUUGCCCCUAGAUUUAAAACUCUUAAGGCUAUAGAUAGUUUCUCCCCUUUCCCCUAUUUCUUUCCAAUAGCCCCAAACAUCAGUAGAAGCAUUUUUCAGAUAAACAGUUCCAAAUAUAUCGUUAGCUGUUAAUUCUGGCGUUUUACUUUCUUUCUUUCUGGUGUGAUGAGUCAUAAGAACGGCUACUUGUUUAGUAGUGCUAAUCCUUUUGAGCCUAUACAAGAACAAUGCAAAUUCAGCAAUACCCCGCAACUAUUUAGUCAUAGCUUGUAGACAUAGUGCUCUACUAGGUUUGUUAAGUGCUUUGGGAGCACUAGGUCGCAGGUUCGAAUCCAGUCUCACUGGUUUACUCUUCAUGAUUCUUAAAUACUCU